ACGAACGCUGGCGGCAUGCCUAACACAUGCAAGUCGAGCGCCCCGCAAGGGGAGUGGCGCACGGGUGAGUAACGCGUGGGGAUCUGCCCAUCGGUGGGGAAUAACCUCGGGAAACUGAGGCUAAUACCGCAUACGCCCUGUAAAGGGGAAAGAUUUAUCGCCGAUGGAUGAACCCGCGUCCGAUUAGCUUGUUGGUGAGGUAAUGGCUCACCAAGGCUUCGAUCGGUAGCUGGUCUGAGAGGAUGACCAGCCACACUGGGACUGAGACACGGCCCAGACUCCUACGGGAGGCAGCAGUGGGGAAUAUUGGACAAUGGGCGAAAGCCUGAUCCAGCCAUGCCGCGUGAGUGACGAAGGCCUUAGGGUUGUAAAGCUCUUUUGUCGGGGACGAUAAUGACGGUACCCGAAGAAUAAGCUCCGGCUAACUUCGU
RNAcentral lists this ribosomal RNA (431 nucleotides) under uncultured bacterium. Its description in RNAcentral is "bacterial SSU rRNA". It matches the Rfam family "Bacterial small subunit ribosomal RNA", at positions 29 to 506 of the family's 1533-position model. The record is from RNAcentral.